CCUACGUGUGGCAGCAGUGAGGAAUAUUGGUCAAUGGACGCAAGUCUGAACCAGCCAAGUAGCGUGAAGGAUGACUGCCCUCUGGGUUGUAAACUUCUUUUAUAUGGGAAUAAAAUGUUCCACGUGUGGGCUUUUGUAUGUACCCUAUGAAUAAAGAUCGGCGAACUCCGUGCCAGCAGCCGCGGUAAUACGGAGGAUCCGAGCGUUAUCCGGAGUUAUUGGGUUUAAAGGGAGCGUAGGUGGAUUGUUAAGUCAGUUGUGAAAGUUUGCGGCUCAACCGUAAAAUUGCAGUUGAAACUGGCAGUCUUGAGUACAGUAGAGGUGGGCGGAAUUCGUGGUGUAGCGGUGAAAUGCUUAGAUAUCACGAAGAACUCCGAUUGCGAAGGCAGCUCACUGGACUGCAACUGACACUGAGGCUCGAAAGUGUGGGUAUCAAACAGGAUUAGAUACCCGUGUAGUC
RNAcentral lists this ribosomal RNA (460 nucleotides) under uncultured bacterium. Its description in RNAcentral is "partial 16S ribosomal RNA". It matches the Rfam family "Bacterial small subunit ribosomal RNA", at positions 338 to 795 of the family's 1533-position model. The record is from RNAcentral.